AACGCCUAUUCUUACCAGCUUAUAUGAAAUAACUGCAGAUUUCGAAUUAAAUGGUUUUGGCACAUAUAGCUGUCGAAUUACAAUAAUAGCAGCCAUUAGCCACCAGAUCUCUGUAUGAUAUCGUUAAUCCGUUCAAAGUUCUGUAUGGGCGCAGACCCGAUACACGAGAAUUGGUAUAACAGUUUAAAAAAAACAUCGUGCAUUCCGUUUCAACCGUUAAAAUUUGAAACGUUAACAGCUGACGGUAAAUCCGAUGUUUGUAAUUUUCAAUAUGUACAGAAUGAAAAAAAAAAA
Cinara cedri is the source of this 294-nucleotide non-coding RNA. The record is from the annotation of a GenBank genome assembly. NCBI's taxonomy places the organism in Eukaryota, Metazoa, Arthropoda, Insecta, Hemiptera, Aphididae.